UACGAGGGGGGCUAGCGUUAUUCGGAAUUACUGGGCGUAAAGCGCACGCAGGCGGCUUGGUAAGUCAGCAGUGAAAGCCCGGGGCUCAAGCUCGGAAGUGCAUUUGAUACUGUCAAGCUUGAGUGUGGGAGAGGGGAGUGGAAUUCCUUGUGUAGAGGUGAAAUUCGUAGAUAUCAGGAGGAAAACCGGUGGCGAAGGCGGCUGACUGGGCCGGUACUGAAGCUUAGGUGCGAAAGCGUGGGGAGCAAACAGG
This 253-nucleotide ribosomal RNA is filed under the name uncultured bacterium. Its description in RNAcentral is "partial 16S ribosomal RNA". It matches the Rfam family "Bacterial small subunit ribosomal RNA", at positions 524 to 776 of the family's 1533-position model. The record is from RNAcentral.